Long non-coding RNA from Nilaparvata lugens (brown planthopper), 359 nucleotides. RefSeq lists it as uncharacterized. Lineage: Eukaryota; Metazoa; Arthropoda; Insecta; Hemiptera; Delphacidae. The transcript is spliced from 3 exons. The record is from RefSeq and is a predicted model, not a curated record.
AAGUUCUGUUCAAUAGGAUAGCUGGAGGAAAAGCCUACAUUACUGUGGGUGACAUGGUCAAUCGUGAUUUAAAUAGAUCAAAGCCAUUUCAGAUAAAUCCGGACUUGAGAGAACAUUUGAGGUCACUGGAAAAAAAAAAAAUAAAAAUCGACUUUAAUCAGUUCUUCAAAGUGUAUCAGAAAGUAUAUGGUAUAAAAAAAUGAUUUCUGUAAAGAUGUCCUAAUAAUUUUGUGUACAUCCACUAAGAUUAUCCUCCAUGUUUCUCCAGUUUGUAAUUUGACUAGGUCAAAAGAAUUGAAAUCUUCAUAAAGAAAUAACGAUUGUUUCAGAGCAAUAUUACAAUAAAAUUACAACUACGA